Molecule: ribosomal RNA, 253 nt
Filed under: uncultured bacterium
Lineage: Bacteria
Description: partial 16S ribosomal RNA
Rfam family: Bacterial small subunit ribosomal RNA
Source: RNAcentral
UACGUAGGGCGCGAGCGUUAUCCGGAAUUAUUGGGCGUAAAGAGCUCGUAGGCGGUAUGUCACGUCUGCUGUGAAAACUGGAGGCUCAACCUCCAGCCUGCAGUGGGUACGGGCAAACUAGAGUGCGGUAGGGGAGAUUGGAAUUCCUGGUGUAGCGGUGGAAUGCGCAGAUAUCAGGAGGAACACCGAUGGCGAAGGCAGAUCUCUGGGCCGUAACUGACGCUGAGGAGCGAAAGCAUGGGGAGCGAACAGG